RNAcentral lists this ribosomal RNA (993 nucleotides) under Triticum aestivum (bread wheat). RNAcentral describes it as "partial small subunit ribosomal RNA". Lineage: Eukaryota; Viridiplantae; Streptophyta; Magnoliopsida; Poales; Poaceae. The record is from RNAcentral.
AUGUGGGCGGCUGCAGCGGCCGGUGUUGAGGUCGGCCGGGUGCCCGCCGGGUCGGCUCCGCUGCAUGACCGGAGGCUGGUAUGGUUCCACGGCGACGAAGAGAUCGCCAGACUGUUCUUGCAGCAAAUCGACCCGAACUUGCCCAGGGCGAGCGCUGGAUGUCAAAGUGAUCCUAUGCAAUUUGUUCGCCAAAGCUUCCAAUCCAUGUCACUGAACCAAUGCAGAUUGCUCCGAAGCAAGAUCCCGUGCUCGACGGCCGACUGCCACGCCUACAUGUCGCCCCCGGUGCCGGACGCCUACGCGGGAAACUGUGUCGCGCUCUGCAUGGCCUCGCUGAGCAGGUCGGAGCUCGCGGCCGUCAGGGAGGCCAUCGCGGAAGCGAAGCGCGAGCAGCUCCACGACCUCGCCCGGUGGCGCACCAAGUUCGCGGUCAUCCAGCGGGGUCGCCGUGGUUCCCGCGUACGGGCUGGACUUCGGGUUCGGGAGGCCGUGACACACAACAAGCCAGCAUCCCCGGUCGAAGCCUCGAAGAGAUUCCUCCUAAGCUAUGUUGACUCACUUAUGGGCAUCCAGAACAACCCGACCACUGAUCCGGUGAAAGGCAAACAAGUGGUGGACGUGGUGGGGUCUCGGACACCAAUAGUGCAUGCGCCGACAGGACCUACUAGUGUGCCUGCACCUAGAGGGACUCCACCGGCUGAAGGAUGUACUAAGCUGAAUGUGGAUGGAUCCUUCUGCGCCAACACAGGGACGGCCGGGACUGGUAUGAUCCUCCGCAACAGCAUCGACGAGAUCAUCUUCUCCUCUUGUCGAGAAUUGCGGGCGUGUGCAGAACCCCUGGUGGCCGAAUUGCUAGCUUGCAUGGAGGGAAUUAACCUCGCGCUGCAAUGGAUGCAACAACCGAUAGAUGUGGAGAUGGACUGUCUCAUCGCGCUAAACAUGGUCAAGGCUUCAGAGAAAGACAGGUCUCAUUAUUCUAUGCUGGUUGAUUAG